AUUGAACGCUGGCGGCAGGCCUAACACAUGCAAGUCGAGCGAGCGGCGGACGGGUGAGUAAUGUAUGGGGAUCUGCCUGAUGGAGGGGGAUAACUACUGGAAACGGUAGCUAAUACCGCAUACAAUCAGAUGAACCCAUAGGGGAUUAGCGAGUAGGUGAGGUAACGGCUUACCUAGGCGACGAUCCCUAGCUGGUCUGAGAGGAUGAUCAGCCACACUGGGACUGAGACCCGGCCCAGACUCCUACGGGAGGCAGCAGUGGGGAAUAUUGCACAAUGGGCGCAAGCCUGAUGCAGCCAUGCCGCGUGUAUGAAGAAGGCCUUCGGGUUGUAAAGUACUUUCAGUCGGGAGGCGUUACCGACAGAAGAAGCACCGGCUAACUCCGUGCCAGCAGCCGCGGUAAUAC
This 406-nucleotide ribosomal RNA is filed under the name uncultured bacterium. RNAcentral's name for it is "partial 16S ribosomal RNA". It matches the Rfam family "Bacterial small subunit ribosomal RNA", at positions 30 to 526 of the family's 1533-position model. The record is from RNAcentral.